RNAcentral lists this ribosomal RNA (440 nucleotides) under uncultured bacterium. Its description in RNAcentral is "partial 16S ribosomal RNA". It matches the Rfam family "Bacterial small subunit ribosomal RNA", at positions 338 to 795 of the family's 1533-position model. The record is from RNAcentral.
CCUACGGGAGGCAGCAGUAGGGAAUAUUGCUCAAUGGGGGAAACCCUGAAGCAGCAACGCCGCGUGGAGGAUGAAGGUUUUCUGAUUGUAAACUCCUUUUGGUAGAGAAGAUAAUGACGGUACCUAACGAAUAAGCACCGGCUAACGCCGUGCCAGCAGCCGCGGUAAUACGGAGGGUGCAAGCGUUACUCGGAAUCACUGGGCGUAAAGAGGGCGUAGGCGGGAUAGCAAGUCAGAUGUGAAAUCCUAUGGCUUAACCAUAGAACUGCAGUUGAAACUGUUAUUCUAGAGUAUGGGAGGGGUAGGUGGAAUUCGUGGUGUAGGGGUGAAAUGCGUAGAGAUCACGAAGAAUACUCAUUGCGAAGGCGACCUGCCAGAACAUAACUGACGCUGAUGCGCGAAAGCGUGGGGAGCAAACAGGAUUAGAUACCCUAGUAGUC